UUAGAGUUUGAUCCUGGCUCAGGACGAACGCUGGCGGCGUGCUUAACACAUGCAAGUCGAACGAUGAAGCCUUUCGGGGUGGAUUAGUGGCGAACGGGUGAGUAACACGUGGGCAAUCUGCCCUGCACUCUGGGACAAGCCCUGGAAACGGGGUCUAAUACCGGAUAAUACCUUCCUUCGCAUGGGGGUGGGUUCAAAGCUCCGGCGGUGCAGGAUGAGCCCGCGGCCUAUCAGCUUGUUGGUGAGGUAGUGGCUCACCAAGGCGACGAUCAGUAGCUGGUCUGAGAGGACGACCAGCCACACUGGGACUGAGACACGGCCCAGACUCCUACGGGAGGCAGCAGUGGGGAAUUUUGGACAAUGGGCGCAAGCCUGAUCCAGCAAUGCCGCGUGAGUGAAGAAGGCCUUCGGGUUGUAAAGCUCUUUUGUCAGGGAAGAAACGGCCGAGGUUAAUACCUUUGGCUAAUGACGGUACCUGAAGAAUAAGCACCGGCUAACUACGUGCCAGCAGCCGCGGUACGC
Molecule: ribosomal RNA, 522 nt
Filed under: uncultured bacterium
Lineage: Bacteria
Description: bacterial SSU rRNA
Rfam family: Bacterial small subunit ribosomal RNA
Source: RNAcentral